Molecule: small nuclear RNA, 101 nt
Filed under: Peromyscus maniculatus bairdii (prairie deer mouse)
Lineage: Eukaryota; Metazoa; Chordata; Mammalia; Rodentia; Cricetidae
Source: RNAcentral
UUGUUUUGGCAGCAAUAUACUAAAAUUGGAACAUACAGAGAAGAUUAGCAUGGCCCCUGCUCAAGGAUGACACGCGAAUUCAUGAAACGUUCCAUAUUUUU